GACGAACGCUGGCGGCGUGCUUAACACAUGCAAGUCGAGCGGUAAGGCCCUUUCGGGGGUACACGAGCGGCGAACGGGUGAGUAACACGUGGGUGACCUGCCCUCAGCUCUGGGAUAAGCCUGGGAAACCGGGUCUAAUACCGGAUAUGACUCCAUGACGCAUGGUUGUGGGGUGGAAAGCCUUGUGCGGCUGAGGAUGGGCCCGCGGCCUAUCAGCUUGUUGGUGGGGUGAUGGCCCUACCAAGGCGACGACGGGUAGCCGGCCUGAGAGGGCGACCGGCCACACUGGGACUGAGACACGGCCCAGACUCCUACGGGAGGCAGCAGUGGGGAAUCUUGCGCAAUGGGCGAAAGCCUGACGCAGCGACGCC
Molecule: ribosomal RNA, 371 nt
Filed under: uncultured bacterium
Lineage: Bacteria
Description: bacterial SSU rRNA
Rfam family: Bacterial small subunit ribosomal RNA
Source: RNAcentral